Molecule: ribosomal RNA, 132 nt
Filed under: Microsporidia sp. VIK-52Pr
Lineage: Eukaryota; Fungi; Microsporidia
Description: partial small subunit ribosomal RNA
Source: RNAcentral
CGUCGUCUAUCUAAGAUGGUAUUAUCAAUGAAGGUGUAUGCCGACAUUUUGAGGUUACUGCUUUUUAUGUGUUGGAGUAGGAUAAUUUUCAUAUUGUAAAUUUGAUUUAUUAUUAAUUAUUAGUGUAAUUUA